CAGCAGCCACGGGAAUACGAAGGGGGCUAGCGUUGCUCGGAAUCACUGGGCGUAAAGGGUGCGUAGGCGGGUCUUUAAGUCAGGGGUGAAAUCCUGGAGCUCAACUCCAGAACUGCCUUUGAUACUGAAGAUCUUGAGUUCGGGAGAGGUGAGUGGAACUGCGAGUGUAGAGGUGAAAUUCGUAGAUAUUCGCAAGAACACCAGUGGCGAAGGCGGCUCACUGGCCCGAUACUGGCGCUGAGGCACGAAAGCGUGGGGAGCAAACAGGAUUAGAUACCCGCGUAGUCCCUGUCUCUUAUAC
This 301-nucleotide ribosomal RNA is filed under the name uncultured bacterium. RNAcentral describes it as "partial 16S ribosomal RNA". It matches the Rfam family "Bacterial small subunit ribosomal RNA", at positions 509 to 807 of the family's 1533-position model. The record is from RNAcentral.